GACGAACGCUGGCGGCGUGCUUAACACAUGCAAGUCGAGCGGAUGGGCGCAGCUUUUUUGGGGUGCUCGAGUGGCGAACGGGUGAGUAACCUGUGAGUAUGCUGCGCUUGGCGUUAGAAUAACUUCAGGAAAGUGGUGAUAAUACCGAAUACGAGCUUCUGCUGCAUGGUGGGGGUUGGAAAGUUUCGGCGGUUGGGGAUAGACUCGCGGCUUAUCAGCUUGUUGGUUGAGUAGUGGCUUACCAAGGCAGUGGCUGGUAGCCCGCCUGGGAGGGUGGCCGGGCACCAUACGACUGAGAUACGGCCCAGACGCCUACGGGAGGCAGUGGUGGAGAAUAUUGUACAAUGGGCGGAAGUCUGAGGAAGAAGUCUUGCGUGCGUGAUGACGGCCUUCGGGUGGGAAAGCGCAGUCGCCUGUGACGAAGCGGGAUUGACGGUAAUGGGUGAAGAAGCACCGGCUAACUACGUG
Molecule: ribosomal RNA, 468 nt
Filed under: uncultured bacterium
Lineage: Bacteria
Description: partial 16S ribosomal RNA
Rfam family: Bacterial small subunit ribosomal RNA
Source: RNAcentral